CUUGGUCAUUUAGAGGAAGUAAAAGUCGUAACAAGGUUUCCGUAGGUGAACCUGCGGAAGGAUCAUUACAAGUGAGGCUACCGAACGUUGGAAACAGCGGUUAGGAGCUUACACCCACCCGUGUUUACAUACUAUUGUUGCUUUGGCGGGCCGUGGCCUCCACUGCGGGCUCUGCUCGUGUGUGCCCGCCAGAAAACCAAACUCUGAAUGUUAGUGAUGUCUGAGUACUAUCUAAUAGUUAAAACUUUCAACAACGGAUCUCUUGGUUCUGGCAUCGGUGAAGAACGCAGCGAAAUGCGAUAAGUAAUGUGAAUUGCAGAAUUCAGUGAAUCAUCGAAUCUUUGAACGCACAUUGCGCCCUGUGGUAUUCCGCAGGGCAUGCCUGUUCGAGCGUCAUUUAACCACUCACGCCUAGCGUGGUAUUGGGGCACGCGGUCUCCGCGGCCCUCAAAAUUAGUGGCGGCGCCGGUGGGCUCUAAGCGUAGUACAUACUCCCGCUAUAGAGUUCCCCCCGGUGGCUCGCCAGAACCCCCAAUUUUUUACAGGUUGACCUCGGAUCAGGUAGGGAUACCCGCUGAACUUAAGCAUAUCAAUAAGCGGAGGA
RNAcentral lists this ribosomal RNA (604 nucleotides) under uncultured Phialocephala. RNAcentral describes it as "eukaryotic LSU rRNA". The stretch from base 243 to 396 matches the Rfam family "5.8S ribosomal RNA". Lineage: Eukaryota; Fungi; Ascomycota; Leotiomycetes; Helotiales. The record is from RNAcentral.